AUUAUGUUAUAUAAUUGCUUGUUUUAUUAUCCCCCGCUUUGUAAUAAAAAAUAAAAAAAAGUUUGAGAGGCUUUGCUUUAAGGUUAAUUAAACAAUACGGCAGACAAAUACGUCAAUAACGAUUGUCAACAAACAAACAUCGUUUGACUUGUCAAGGGUCAAUGAUACGACCGUGACCGAACGUAACGACUCCGAUGGCGACGACAAGCAAGUCGGUGACGUGCGUAAACGCUAUUGUGUCUCCUAAUUAGCAAUUAGCCGCUGCGAAGCGUGCAAAUGGAGCUGCUCUACGGGAUAUUGCACCUGCGAAGAGAACCAUGAAAAGCCUCUGUCGUGGCUAAUAAUAUCUGCCGAAGCUAUUGAUUCGUGCGCAGCGAGCUCUUUGUGAAUGAAAACCGCAGACACGUUGCAAGCAUGCAGCAGACUUGCAUAAGGAUGGUGGUAAGCAGCGAAUGACAAUGACUGCAACGCCAUGCUGUUUCCACUGAUUAUUCACGCUUGUUCGCGGUUGCAUUCUGGUGCGCACGUGCGACUGGGCGAACAGAGAAUGCACAUGUCGACCAUAUGGUCACGCAUAAAACGUAUGCAAGAAAUACAAGGUCACUACCCCCUACGCACAAAAUCGACGCAAUUUUGUCACUUUAAGAAAAAUGCAUUCUUAAUAUCCGUGCGCUUUCUUCGCGCUUUUCUCACGC
Nylanderia fulva is the source of this 695-nucleotide long non-coding RNA. RefSeq lists it as uncharacterized. NCBI's taxonomy places the organism in Eukaryota, Metazoa, Arthropoda, Insecta, Hymenoptera, Formicidae. The record is from RefSeq and is a predicted model, not a curated record.